CUGUCCCUCGGCUCCGGGGAGGGAAAGGGGGAGCUGUGCACGGGGGACUGGGAGGAGCUAAGGGGCGACCCUCACGCUCCCUUUUCGCCAAGUCGGGGUCCUGAGCGCCGCCAAAGGGGUAGAGGGAAUGUUGUGGGCUGGGGCACACCCAGGAGCGCGGGAACUGGAGGAAGGAAGAAACAGCGCCGGGGACCCAGGGCACCCUCUCUCCAGUUCCCCGGCCCGCCCGGCGGCGUUCGCCACUCCCUCCUUACGACCUGCUCCGUCGCUAGCUGUCCGGGGGCGGCCGGCUUGGCCCGCUGACCCCGGCGUUCCGAGGCGCUCUGGAUCACUGCUUCGGCCCCUACUUUGCGAACGGUGCUCCCAUCCCCUGCUCACGCCAUCCGGCAUCUGCGCCCUCCAAGCACCCUCCCCGCUCCGCUUCCAGGGCCCGAGUGUGCGCCCCUUCUGGAAAUGCCACGCGAGGAGGACAAACUUUUGAGGGGAUCGACAGGGGCCAGUCCCGCAGCAGGUCAAGAAAAAGUUGGAUUUGCCUGCAAAGACCUUGGCCUGAGUUUACAAAUCUUGGAAGAGCCAGAGAGGAAAAAAAGUGGAAAAGAAUAAUGACAAUCCCUACUAAAUCUGCAAGCAGACAUCAGUACACAUAGGAGUCAUCUUCCUCUGGAUGGAGAGACUGAAUGAUUUUGGCUCCUGAGCAUCUAUCCACGGAUCAUCCCUGAUUAUCCAGGCCCACUGCCUUCCACAUCUGCUGGGCAACAAAGGCAGGCAGCUCAUUUCAGGCCAUGAAAAAGCGAGUGCAGAACAAUCUCUUUGCUCCAACCCGGGCGGGCCGCAGGAAAGGAGAGAGCCCAGCUCAUUUCGCAGGAUCCGGAGUCUCAGCAGGCAGAGCCCUGACACUGCUGCAUCCUGGAGUCUGCGCAGAAAGCAGCUUUUGCCUUUGGGUUCUCUUUGCUGCCUUGGCCUCUGCUCUGUUCAGUUUGCCGGUAUGUUUUUCUCCCCAUUUGGGGGUUGUGGGGGACAGGGACAUGAGAUGAUUCUCCCCAUUCCCCUUAUCCUGCCCUGUGCCCCCCAACCUCACAGCUGCUGAUAGUAAUGAACUGCAGCUUCCAGCCCUGCCCAUCAUCGAAGCAAAUUCAAUUUUUUUUCCAGGCAGGAGAAGGGCAGAUGCUCCUUCCUCAAUCCCCCUUUGCUCAUUGAUCCAUUCUGAGGGCACUUGGGGGUCAAAAGUGAGACCAGAUGUGUAAAAAUUAGCAUUUCUUAUCACACCAAAGGCCUAGAUCUCUUACCCUAAGGAACAUGAGAUCCUUGCCCAGACUCACACCUGUUCUCUGGCCGAUCAAGUCAGUGAUGAUUCAAAUUGUAAAGCUUUGUUCAGGCGGAGGAAGGGAAGGGAAAAUGAGCAGUUUGCUCUGUGUAGCAGUCAGUAGCUUCAGCUGCUCAUUCUGUUAAUACUUAUUACAUAUCUGCCAUGUACGAAGCAUUGUGUAGGCCUGAGUUUGCCAUGACUAUCAGAAGAUUCUUGUCACUAUGAGGCCUCCAUGUGUCGACAAAUAUACAAACAGACCAACGGAAAUUUGGCUUGGACUCGUGAUUUUCUUUUUUUUUUUUUUUUUUUUUUUUUUUUGUCUUUUUCAUUUUUAUCGGUACUGGGGAUCGAACUCACGACUGCCUGCUUACAAGGCAGGUGCUUAUGCCGCUGAGCUAAAUCCCCAGCCCCCGUGGACUCGUGAUUUUCAGUGCAGCCUUUUACAUGCCCGGUCUGAGAGCCGAUGUCUUCCCAGCUCCAGAUCCACAGCCCCAGACAGAUGAAAAGCAGGAUGAUUCCAAGCCACUGGUUCUUCCCACUGGAAAACUAUUAAAGUAGAAAUAAGAGAAACCUCCUCCUGGGAUUGAUACACACAAAGCUUGAAAUAAAGGUUUGGGAUAGCCAGCAAGGGCCCUCCAAAAACA
Cavia porcellus (domestic guinea pig) is the source of this 1950-nucleotide long non-coding RNA. RefSeq lists it as uncharacterized. NCBI's taxonomy places the organism in Eukaryota, Metazoa, Chordata, Mammalia, Rodentia, Caviidae. The transcript is spliced from 3 exons. The record is from RefSeq and is a predicted model, not a curated record.